Molecule: ribosomal RNA, 486 nt
Filed under: uncultured bacterium
Lineage: Bacteria
Description: partial 16S ribosomal RNA
Rfam family: Bacterial small subunit ribosomal RNA
Source: RNAcentral
AUUGAACGCUGGCGGCAUGCUUUACACAUGCAGGUCGAGCGGCAGCGCGGGGGCAACCCUGGCGGCGAGCGGCGAACGGGUGAGUAAUGCAUCGGAACGUAUCCUCGAGUGGGGGAUAACCCAGCGAAAGUUGGGCUAAUACCGCAUGAGCUCUGAGGAGGAAAGCGGGGGACCUGCGAGGGCCUCGCGCUGGAGGAGCGGCCGAUGUCCGAUUAGCUAGUUGGUGGGGUAAAGGCUUACCAAGGCGACGAUCGGUAGCUGGUCUGAGAGGAUGAUCAGCCACACUGGGACUGAGACACGGCCCAGACUCCUACGGGAGGCAGCAGUGGGGAAUUUUGGACAAUGGGGGCAACCCUGAUCCAGCCAUGCCGCGUGAGUGAAGAAGGCCUUCGGGUUGUAAAGCUCUUUCGGACGGAACGAAAUGGGCGGGACUAAUACUCCUGUCUGAUGACGGUACCGUAAGAAGAAGCACCGGCUAACUACGUG